This 21-nucleotide microRNA is filed under the name Brachypodium distachyon (stiff brome). RNAcentral describes it as "bdi-miR5064". The record is from miRBase by way of RNAcentral. Lineage: Eukaryota; Viridiplantae; Streptophyta; Magnoliopsida; Poales; Poaceae.
CGAAUUUGUCCAUAGCAUCAG